GUUCAGAUUGCAGGCUGCAACUCGCCUGCAUGAAGUCGGAAUUGCUAGUAAUCGCAGAUCAGCAUGCUGCGGUGAAUACGUUCCCGGGCCUUGUACACACCGCCCGUCACACCAUGGGAGUCGGUAACACCCGAAGUCGGUAGCCUAACCGUAAGGAGGGCGCCGCCGAAGGUGGGAUUGAUGACUGGGGUGAAGUCGUAACAAGGUAGC
This 210-nucleotide ribosomal RNA is filed under the name uncultured bacterium. RNAcentral's name for it is "partial 16S ribosomal RNA". It matches the Rfam family "Bacterial small subunit ribosomal RNA", at positions 1291 to 1500 of the family's 1533-position model. The record is from RNAcentral.